AGCUUAUAAUGUACAGUCCUAUCACAAAGCAGAAUAAAAACAUGAAACCUAUAAAUGGGAAUGCCAUAAAGUAUUUUUAUCUCUACAGGUUCAUUCAUGCAGAGGGCAUUUAUUGGGUGACUGCAGUACUGCAAAAGGUUGCAAAGGAAAUGGAAGAUCUGGUCCCUGCAGGUUGGGAGUUUACAAUCUAAUUAGAAAUACAAGGCAUAUAUACGUGAAAAAACUAGAAUCCCCAGCUGUAAGCAAAAGGAUGGAGUAGGUGGG
This 264-nucleotide long non-coding RNA is filed under the name Homo sapiens (human). Its description in RNAcentral is "LHRI_LNC543.1". Lineage: Eukaryota; Metazoa; Chordata; Mammalia; Primates; Hominidae. The record is from RNAcentral.